This 775-nucleotide ribosomal RNA is filed under the name uncultured Neocallimastigales. Its description in RNAcentral is "partial large subunit ribosomal RNA". It matches the Rfam family "Eukaryotic large subunit ribosomal RNA", at positions 25 to 644 of the family's 3401-position model. The record is from RNAcentral. Lineage: Eukaryota; Fungi; Neocallimastigomycota; Neocallimastigomycetes; Neocallimastigales.
UCGUCUAUAUACGUAUAGCAUAUCAAUAAGCGGAGGAAAAGAAACUAACUAGGAUUCCCUCAGUAACGGCGAGUGAAGCGGGAAGAGCUCAAAUUUGAAAUCUUCAAGGUUCUACCUUGACGAAUUGUAGUUUAAAGAAGUGUUUUCUGUUGAAGUUUUGGUAAAAGUUCUUUGGAAUAGGACAUCAUAGAGGGUGAGAAUCCCGUAUUUGACCAUUAUUUUCAGCUGUGUGAUACACUUUCAAAGAGUCGGAUUGUUUGGGAAUGCAAUCCAAAAUGGGUGGUAAAUUUCAUCUAAAGCUAAAUAUUGGCGAGAGACCGAUAGCGAACAAGUACCGUGAGGGAAAGAUGAAAAGAACUUUGAAAAGAGAGUUAAACAGUACGUGAAAUUGUCAAAAGGGAAGCGUUUGACACCAGUGUUGUUUUCUCGAAAAUCAAUUAAGAAUGGCUGAUUUUGUGUUGUAUUGACCUUAUCAGCUUUCUGCACUCUUUUCUGAGUCUUUUUAAUGCACUUUUCGGUUAACAAGUCAACAUCAAUUUCUUUUGUUGUAAAAGGGUCAUUGGAAGGUGGCUUUCUUUUCGGAGAAAGUGUUUAUAGCCUUGUGCCUCUACAAUCGGAGAGAUUGAGGUCUGCAGCGUAGAUCCUUCGGGGUUAGAUACAGUUUGUGCUAAGUUAUAGCUUUUCAUAGACAACUUGUUGACUAUGUUUAGUCUUGUAGCUUACUCGCUGAUGCUAUUUUACCUACGCUUAGGAUGUUGACUGAUAUGUAGUCGUA